Molecule: non-coding RNA, 80 nt
Organism: Caenorhabditis elegans
Lineage: Eukaryota; Metazoa; Nematoda; Chromadorea; Rhabditida; Rhabditidae
Source: Ensembl
ACAACACUAAAUAAAUCAACAUAGGGAUGCAGUAGAAAUUUUGAAACCCAAUAAUUAUGGUUUCAGUUCAUAUUUUGUUU